RNAcentral lists this unclassified non-coding RNA (964 nucleotides) under Hevea brasiliensis (rubber tree). The record is from RNAcentral. Lineage: Eukaryota; Viridiplantae; Streptophyta; Magnoliopsida; Malpighiales; Euphorbiaceae.
ACUGUAUAAACUCCAUUUUUCGGCUGCAUAGCAGGUGUGGUAAAGAAAAUCAUAUGCAGAAAAUGGAUGAGGUAUUGAGGUCGGAAAUAUUUAAAGAUUUCUGGCUGAAUAACAGCAGGUCCAGUUAAAAAAUAAAAUGCAGAAAAAGAAUGAGGUUGGAAAAUAUGUAAAGGUAAAGAAGAACAAGAAAUUUGAAUGCUCAAAAUUCUAGACGUUAAUUCUUUUGAUUAGCAAGUUUUAAAACCCCAAUUCCCAUUCUUACCCCAAAUAUCCAUCACUCAAACCAACAACCUACAGGGAAGCAAUAACAUCAUCCAGGAACUAAGGAAAAGCACUUUGCUCCUCCAUAAGUCAAAAUGCAAACAGCAUUUCCAGCAGAAAGUAAAAAUAUGAAUUAGCAUAACGAAUAUAUAACUUCCAAGUGCCCUUGCACGUCGGAUCAUUCAAAAACAAAAAGAGCAGCCCAAAUCUGCAUUCAAACUAAGUGUAUCAUCAGGGAUGCAUCCAUUACAGAAUAUUUCAUAUGCAUCAGUGUUACUUAACCCCGUUUUCCAUAAUAAACCUUACAAGAAGCAAAUUCUAGAUAAUUAAAGUUAUGCAUUCGUCCUCUGCUCUUACUACUAGCUUAAAUAUUAUUCCAAUAAACGAACAGAAAGUUAAAUAGCACGAAAGUAAUAAUUACUAACUGAUUAAUAAAAUUAACUUGAAUCAAUGAUUGAUCAAUAGAACACAGUUCCUUCAGAGAAAUAAACUGCUCGAACAAAUCAAGUACCAAAAUUAAAUUGAAUUUCCUCUAAUCAGUUCAUGUAAAAUUAUAUAACAACUAAAUGAACUAAUUCAAUCACGAAACUCUAAAUUGAAAUGUUAAUUAUACGGAAACGACGAUUCUGAACUUCGGAGCACAAUUAAUUCUCUAGCAUAUAGAGGAUAAGGUAACAGACCGGUACGGAAUUAGCCAUCAAGG